RNAcentral lists this ribosomal RNA (1363 nucleotides) under uncultured bacterium. RNAcentral describes it as "bacterial SSU rRNA". It matches the Rfam family "Bacterial small subunit ribosomal RNA", at positions 27 to 1381 of the family's 1533-position model. The record is from RNAcentral.
GAACGAACGCUGGCGGCGUGCUUAACACAUGCAAGUCGAACGCGAAAGGGGCUUCGGUCCUGAGUAGAGUGGCGCACGGGUGAGUAACGCGUAGAUAACCUGUCCUGGUGUCUGGAAUAAUAUCUCGAAAGGGGUGCUAAUACCGGAUAUUCUUGCUUUCUAUAAGGUAUGCAAGGAAAGGUGGCCUCUGGAACAAGCUACUGCACGAGGAGGGGUCUGCGUACCAUUAGCUAGUAGGUGGGGUAAUGGCCUACCUAGGCGACGAUGGUUAGCGGGUCUGAGAGGAUAAUCCGCCACACUGGUACUGAAACACGGACCAGACUCCUACGGGAGGCAGCAGUGAGGAAUAUUGCGCAAUGGGGGCAACCCUGACGCAGCGACGCCGCGUGAGUGAGGAAGGCCUUCGGGUCGUAAAGCUCUGUCAAAGGGGAAGAAGUGCAUGAUGGUUAAUAUCUGUCGUGUUUGACGGUACCCUUAAAGGAAGCACCGGCUAACUCCGUGCCAGCAGCCGCGGUAAUACGGAGGGUGCAAGCGUUGUUCGGAAUCACUGGGCGUAAAGGGCGCGCAGGCGGUUUGAAUAGUCAGAUGUGAAAGCCCACGGCUUAACCGUGGAAGUGCAUUUGAAACUGUCAGACUUGAGUACCAGAGGGGAAAGUGGAAUUCCCGGUGUAGAGGUGAAAUUCGUAGAUAUCGGGAGGAAUACCGGUGGCGAAGGCGACUUUCUGGCUGGAUACUGACGCUGAGGCGCGAAAGCGUGGGGAGCAAACAGGAUUAGAUACCCUGGUAGUCCACGCUGUAAACGAUGUGCACUAGAUGUAGGGGGUGUUGAUCCCCUCUGUGUCGCAGCUAACGCAUUAAGUGCACCGCCUGGGGAGUACGGUCGCAAGGUUAAAACUCAAAGGAAUUGACGGGUCCCCGCACAAGCAGCGGAGCGUGUGGUUUAAUUCGAUGCUACACGAAGAACCUUACCUGGGUUUGACAUAGAGGUAGUAGGGAAGCGAAAGCGGACCGACCCUUCGGGGAGCCUCUACAGGUGUUGCAUGGCUGUCGUCAGCUCGUGUCGUGAGAUGUUCGGUUAAGUCCGCUAACGAGCGCAACCCUCGCUGUGUGUUACAAGUGUCACACGGUACUGCCGAUAUUAAGUCGGAGGAAGGUGGGGAUGACGUCAAGUCAGCAUGACCUUUAUAUCCAGGGCUACACACACGCUACAAUGGCCAGUACAAUGGGUUGCCAAGCCGCGAGGCGGAGCCAAUCCUAAAAAGCUGGCCUCAGUUCAGAUUGCAGUCUGCAACUCGACUGCAUGAAGUUGGAGUUGCUAGUAACCGCAGGUCAGCAAUACUGCGGUGAAUACGUUCCCGGGGAU